This 516-nucleotide ribosomal RNA is filed under the name Fusarium sp. 36H9a7/8endo. RNAcentral describes it as "eukaryotic LSU rRNA". The stretch from base 149 to 302 matches the Rfam family "5.8S ribosomal RNA". The record is from RNAcentral. Lineage: Eukaryota; Fungi; Ascomycota; Sordariomycetes; Hypocreales; Nectriaceae.
GGCUCUAAGCUUCGCACUAUCCUCUGUGGACAUACCACUUGUUGCCUCGACGGAUCAGCCCGCUCCCGGUAAAACGGGACGGCCCGCCAGAGGACCCCUAAACUCUGUUUCUAUAUGUAACUUCUGAGUAAAACCAUAAAUAAAUCAAAACUUUCAACAACGGAUCUCUUGGUUCUGGCAUCGAUGAAGAACGCAGCAAAAUGCGAUAAGUAAUGUGAAUUGCAGAAUUCAGUGAAUCAUCGAAUCUUUGAACGCACAUUGCGCCCGCCAGUAUUCUGGCGGGCAUGCCUGUUCGAGCGUCAUUUCAACCCUCAAGCACAGCUUGGUGUUGGGACUCGCGUUAAUUCGCGUUCCCCAAAUUGAUUGGCGGUCACGUCGAGCUUCCAUAGCGUAGUAGUAAAACCCUCGUUACUGGUAAUCGUCGCGGCCACGCCGUUAAACCCCAACUUCUGAAUGUUGACCUCGGAUCAGGUAGGAAUACCCGCUGAACUUAAGCAUAUCAAUAAGCGGAGGAAA